Molecule: long non-coding RNA, 2183 nt
Organism: Anthonomus grandis grandis
Lineage: Eukaryota; Metazoa; Arthropoda; Insecta; Coleoptera; Curculionidae
Exons: 11
Source: RefSeq, a predicted model, not a curated record
UUUCUUUAUUACACGUUUCUUAAUUGUUUUCUUCUUUGUCACUCCAUCUUCAACAACUGUUGUUUCUUGAACUUGUUCGGGUAGUUCUUGGACAGUAAAUACCGGUUCUUCCGGCAUUUGUUCUUCUUGAACCGUGACAGUGGUUAAAGGUUCUUUACCUUCUUCUUCCAGUGUAACUAUUUCUGUUGUUUCCUUCUUAUCACCUUUCUGUUUCUUUAUUACACGUUUCUUGAUUGUUUUCUUCUUUAUUACUCCAUUUUCAACAACAGUUGUUUCUUGGACUUGUUCGGGCAAUUCUUGGACAGUAAAUACCGGUUCUUCUGGCAUUUGUUCUUCUUGAACCGUUACAGUGGUUAAAGGUUCUUUACCUUCUUCUUCCAGUGUAACUAUUUCUGUUGUUUCUUUUUUAUCAUCUUUUUGUUUCUUUAUUACACGUUUCUUAAUUGUUUUCUUCUUUGUCACUCCAUCUUCAACAACUGUUGUUUCUUGAACUUGUUCGGGUAGUUCUUGGACAGUAAAUACCGGUUCUUCCGGCAUUUGUUCUUCUUGAACCGUGACAGUGGUUAAAGGUUCUUUACCUUCUUCUUCCAGUGUAACUAUUUCUGUUGUUUCUUUUUUAUCACCUUUUUGUCUCUUUAUUACACGUUUCUUAAUUGUUUUCUUCUUUGUCACUCCAUCUUCAACAACAGUUGUUUCUUGAACUUGUUCGGGCAAUUCUUGGACAGUAAAUACCGGUUCUUCUGGCAUUUGUUCUUCUUGAACCGUAACAGUGGUUAAAGGUUCUUUACCUUCUUCUUCCAGUGUAACUAUUUCUGUUGUUUCUUUCUUAUCACCUUUUUGUUUCUUUAUUACACGUUUCUUAAUUGUUUUCUUCUUUGUCACUCCAUCUUCAACAACAGUUGUUUCUUGAACUUGUUCGGGUAGUUCUUGGACAGUAAAUAUCGGUUCUUCCGGCAUUUGUUCUUCUUGAAUCGUGACAGUGGUUAAAGGUUCUUUACCUUCUUCUUCCAGAGUAACUAUUUCUGUUGUUUCUUUCUUAUCACCUUUUUGUUUCUUUAUUACACGUUUCUUAAUUGUUUUCGUCUUUGUCACUCCAUCUUCAACAACAGUUGUUUCUUGAACUUGUUCGGGCAGUUCUUGGACAGUAAAUACCGGUUCUUCCGGCAUUUGUUCUUCUUGAAUCGUGACAGUGGUUAAGGGUUCUUUACCUUCUUCUUCCAGAGUAACUAUUUCUGUUGUUUCUUUCUUAUCACCUUUUUGUUUCUUUAUUACACGUUUCUUAAUUGUUUUCUUCUUUGUUACUCCAUCUUCAACAACUGUUGUUUCUUGAACUUGUUCGGGCAGUUCUUGGACAGUAAAUACCGGUUCUUCCGGCAUUUCUUCCUCUUGAACCGUGACAGUGGUUAAAGGUUCUUUACCUUCUUCUUCCAGUGUAACUAUUUCUGUUGUUUCUUUCUUAUCACCUUUUUGUUUCUUUAUUACACGUUUCCUAAUUGUUUUCUUCUUUGUCACUCCAUCUUCAACAACAGUUGUUUCUUGAACUUGUUCGGGUAGUUCUUGGACAGUAAAUACCGGUUCUUCCGGCAUUUGUUCUUCUUGAACCGUGACAGUGGUUAAAGGUUCUUUACCUUCUUCUUCCAGAGUAACUAUUUCUGUUGUUUCUUUCUUAUCACCUUUUUGUUUCUUUAUUACACGUUUCUUAAUUGUUUUCUUCUUUGUCACUCCAUCUUCAAUAACAGUUGUUUCUUGAACUUGUUCGGGUAGUUCUUGGACAGUAAAUACCGGUUCUUCCCGCAUUUCUUCCUCUUGAACCGUGACAGUGGUUAAAGGUUCUUUACCUUCUUCUUCCAGUGUAACUAUUUCUGUUGUUUCUUUCUUAUCACCUUUUUGUUUCUUUAUUACACGUUUCUUAAUUGUUUUCUUCUUUGUUACUCCAUCUUCAACAACUGUUGUUUCUUGAACUUGUUCGGGUAGUUCUUGGACAGUAAAUACCGGUUCUUCCGGCAUUUGUUCUUCUUGAACCGUGACAGUGGUUAAAGGUUCUUUACCUUCUUCUUCCAGUGUAACUAUUUCUGUUGUUUCUUUUUUAUCACCUUUUUGUUUCUUUAUUACACGUUUCUUAAUUGUUUUCUUCUUUGUCACUCCAUCUUCAACAACUGUUGUUUCUUGAACUUGUUCGGGCA